AGAGUUUGAUCAUGGCUCAGAACGAACGCUGGCGGCAGGCCUAACACAUGCAAGUCGAGCGAGACCUUCGGGUCUAGCGGCGGACGGGUUAGUAACGCGUGGGAACGUGCCCUUCUCUGCGGAAUAGCCACUGGAAACGGUGAGUGAUACCGCAUACGCCCUUCGGGGGAAAGAUUUAUCGGAGAAGGAUCGGCCCGCGUUAGAUUAGAUAGUUGGUGGGGUAACGGCCUACCAAGUCUACGAUCUAUAGCUGGUUUUAGAGGAUGAUCAGCAACACUGGGACUGAGACACGGCCCAGACUCCUACGGGAGGCAGCAGUGGGGAAUCUUAGACAAUGGGCGCAAGCCUGAUCUAGCCAUGCCGCGUGUGUGAUGAAGGUCUUAGGAUCGUAAAGCACUUUCGCCAGGGAUGAUAAUGACAGUACCUGGUAAAGAAACCCCGGCUAACUCCGUGCCAGCAGCCGCGGUAAUACGGAGGGGGUUAGCGUUGUUCGGAAUUACUGGGCGUAAAGCGUACGUAGGCGGAUCAGAAAGUUGGGGGUGAAAUCCCGGGGCUCAACCCCGGAACUGCCUCCAAACUCCUGGUCUUG
RNAcentral lists this ribosomal RNA (589 nucleotides) under uncultured Alphaproteobacteria bacterium. RNAcentral's name for it is "bacterial SSU rRNA". It matches the Rfam family "Bacterial small subunit ribosomal RNA", at positions 8 to 644 of the family's 1533-position model. Lineage: Bacteria; Pseudomonadati; Pseudomonadota; Alphaproteobacteria. The record is from RNAcentral.